GGUCAGGAUGCUUGGCUUAUACUAGGUUUUAUACGGUGAAGAGGAGUUGAGCAGGGAAUUGAAAAUCCCCGUGUCGGUGGUUCGAUUCCACCCCUGGCCGCCA
This 103-nucleotide transfer RNA is filed under the name Gammaproteobacteria bacterium. RNAcentral describes it as "tRNA-Phe". It matches the Rfam family "tRNA". From Rfam's summary of the family: Transfer RNA (tRNA) molecules are approximately 80 nucleotides in length. Lineage: Bacteria; Pseudomonadati; Pseudomonadota; Gammaproteobacteria. The record is from RNAcentral.